GGGCACAUGGUGUAGUUGGUUAUCACGCUCGCUUAGCAUGCUUUGCCAGCUGCGAGAGGUGUCCGGUUCAAUUCCGGAUGUGUCCA
RNAcentral lists this transfer RNA (86 nucleotides) under Dentipellis sp. KUC8613. Its description in RNAcentral is "tRNA-Ala". It matches the Rfam family "tRNA". From Rfam's summary of the family: Transfer RNA (tRNA) molecules are approximately 80 nucleotides in length. Their secondary structure includes four short double-helical elements and three loops (D, anti-codon, and T loops). The record is from RNAcentral. Lineage: Eukaryota; Fungi; Basidiomycota; Agaricomycetes; Russulales; Hericiaceae.